UUAAGCGACUAAGCGUACACGGUGGAUGCCCUGGCAGUCAGAGGCGAUGAAGGACGUGCUAAUCUGCGAAAAGCGUCGGUAAGGUGAUAUGAACCGUUAUAACCGGCGAUGUCCGAAUGGGGAAACCCAGUGUGAUUCGUCACACUAUCGUUAACUGAAUACAUAGGUUAACGAGGCGAACCGGGGGAACUGAAACAUCUAAGUACCCCGAGGAAAAGAAAUCAACCGAGAUUCCCCCAGUAGCGGCGAGCGAACGGGGAGCAGCCCAGAGUCUGAAUCAGCUUGUGUGUUAGUGGAACGGUCUGGAAAGUCCGACGGUACAGGGUGAUAGUCCCGUACACCAAAAUGCACAGGCUGUGAACUCGAAGAGUAGGGCGGGACACGUGGUAUCCUGUCUGAAUAUGGGGGGACCAUCCUCCAAGGCUAAAUACUCCUGACUGACCGAUAGUGAACCAGUACCGUGAGGGAAAGGCGAAAAGAACCCCGGCGAGGGGAGUGAAAAAGAACCUGAAACCGUGUACGUACAAGCAGUGGGAGCACCUUCGGGUGUGACUGCGUACCUUUUGUAUAAUGGGUCAGCGACUUAUAUUCUGUAGCAAGGUUAACCGUAUAGGGGAGCCGCAGGGAAACCGAGUCUUAACUGGGCGUUAAGUUGCAGGGUAUAGACCCGAAACCCGGUGAUCUAGCCAUGGGCAGGUUGAAGGUUGGGUAACACUAACUGGAGGACCGAACCGACUAAUGUUGAAAAAUUAGCGGAUGACUUGUGGCUGGGGGUGAAAGGCCAAUCAAACCGGGAGAUAGCUGGUUCUCCCCGAAAGCUAUUUAGGUAGCGCCUCGUGAACUCAUCUUCGGGGGUAGAGCACUGUUUCGGCUAGGGGGUCAUCCCGACUUACCAACCCGAUGCAAACUACGAAUACCGAAGAAUGUUAUCACGGGAGACACACGGCGGGUGCUAACGUCCGUCGUGAAGAGGGAAACAACCCAGACCGCCAGCUAAGGUCCCAAAGUCAUGGUUAAGUGGGAAACGAUGUGGGAAGGCACAGACAGCCAGGAUGUUGGCUUAGAAGCAGCCAUCAUUUAAAGAAAGCGUAAUAGCUCACUGGUCGAGUCGGCCUGCGCGGAAGAUGUAACGGGGCUAAACCAUGCACCGAAGCUGCGGCAGCGACACUAUGUGUUGUUGGGUAGGGGAGCGUUCUGUAAGCCUGCGAAGGUGNNNNNNNNNNNNNNNNNNNNNNNNNNNNNNNNNNNNNNNNNNNNNNNNNUGCUGGAGGUAUCAGAAGUGCGAAUGCUGACAUAAGUAACGAUAAAGCGGGUGAAAAGCCCGCUCGCCGGAAGACCAAGGGUUCCUGUCCAACGUUAAUCGGGGCAGGGUGAGUCGACCCCUAAGGCGAGGCCGAAAGGCGUAGUCGAUGGGAAACAGGUUAAUAUUCCUGUACUUGGUGUUACUGCGAAGGGGGGACGGAGAAGGCUAUGUUAGCCGGGCGACGGUUGUCCCGGUUUAAGCAUGUAGGCUGAUUGUCCAGGCAAAUCCGGAUAAUCAAGGCUGAGGUGUGAUGACGAGGCACUACGGUGCUGAAGUAACAAAUGCCCUGCUUCCAGGAAAAGCCUCUAAGCAUCAGGUAACAUCAAAUCGUACCCCAAACCGACACAGGUGGUCAGGUAGAGAAUACCAAGGCGCUUGAGAGAACUCGGGUGAAGGAACUAGGCAAAAUGGUGCCGUAACUUCGGGAGAAGGCACGCUGGUGUGUAGGUGAAGUCCCUGCGGAUGGAGCUGAGACCAGUCGAAGAUACCAGCUGGCUGCAACUGUUUAUUAAAAACACAGCACUGUGCAAACACGAAAGUGGACGUAUACGGUGUGACGCCUGCCCGGUGCCGGAAGGUUAAUUGAUGGGGUUAUCCGUAAGGAGAAGCUCUUGAUCGAAGCCCCGGUAAACGGCGGCCGUAACUAUAACGGUCCUAAGGUAGCGAAAUUCCUUGUCGGGUAAGUUCCGACCUGCACGAAUGGCGUAAUGAUGGCCAGGCUGUCUCCACCCGAGACUCAGUGAAAUUGAACUCGCUGUGAAGAUGCAGUGUACCCGCGGCAAGACGGAAAGACCCCGUGAACCUUUACUAUAGCUUGACACUGAACAUUGAGCCUUGAUGUGUAGGAUAGGUGGGAGGCUUUGAAGCGUGGACGCCAGUCUGCGUGGAGCCAACCUUGAAAUACCACCCUUUAAUGUUUGAUGUUCUAACGUUGGCCCCUUACCGGGGUUGCGGACAGUGUCUGGUGGGUAGUUUGACUGGGGCGGUCUCCUCCCAAAGCGUAACGGAGGAGCACGAAGGUUAGCUAAUCCUGGUCGGACAUCAGGAGGUUAGUGCAAUGGCAUAAGCUAGCUUGACUGCGAGCGUGACGGCGCGAGCAGGUGCGAAAGCAGGUCAUAGUGAUCCGGUGGUUCUGAAUGGAAGGGCCAUCGCUCAACGGAUAAAAGGUACUCCGGGGAUAACAGGCUGAUACCGCCCAAGAGUUCAUAUCGACGGCGGUGUUUGGCACCUCGAUGUCGGCUCAUCACAUCCUGGGGCUGAAGUAGGUCCCAAGGGUAUGGCUGUUCGCCAUUUAAAGUGGUACGCGAGCUGGGUUUAGAACGUCGUGAGACAGUUCGGUCCCUAUCUGCCGUGGGCGCUGGAGAAUUGAGGGGGGCUGCUCCUAGUACGAGAGGACCGGAGUGGACGCAUCACUGGUGUUCGGGUUGUCAUGCCAAUGGCACUGCCCGGUAGCUAAAUGCGGAAGAGAUAAGUGCUGAAAGCAUCUAAGCACGAAACUUGCCCCGAGAUGAGUUCUCCCUGAGACUUUAAGUCUCCUGAAGGAACGUUGAAGACGACGACGUUGAUAGGCCGGGUGUGUAAGCGCAGCGAUGCGUUGAGCUAACCGGUACUAAUGAACCGUGAGGCUUAACCUU
This 2937-nucleotide ribosomal RNA is filed under the name Klebsiella pneumoniae. Its description in RNAcentral is "bacterial LSU rRNA". It matches the Rfam family "Bacterial large subunit ribosomal RNA". Lineage: Bacteria; Pseudomonadati; Pseudomonadota; Gammaproteobacteria; Enterobacterales; Enterobacteriaceae. The record is from RNAcentral.